Molecule: ribosomal RNA, 233 nt
Filed under: uncultured bacterium
Lineage: Bacteria
Description: partial 16S ribosomal RNA
Rfam family: Bacterial small subunit ribosomal RNA
Source: RNAcentral
CGGGACGGGUGAGUAAUGUAUGGGGAUCUGCCUGAUGGCGGGGGGUAACUACUGGAAACGGUAGCUAAUACCGCAUAAUGUCUGCGGACCAAAGCGGGGGACCUCCGGGCCUCGCGCCAUCAGAUGAACCCAUAUGGGAUUAGCUAGUAGGUAAGGUAACGGCUUACCUAGGCGACGAUCCCUAGCUGGUCUGAGAGGAUGACCAGCCACACUGGAACUGAGACACGGUCCAG